Molecule: long non-coding RNA, 951 nt
Filed under: Triticum aestivum (bread wheat)
Lineage: Eukaryota; Viridiplantae; Streptophyta; Magnoliopsida; Poales; Poaceae
Description: long non-coding RNA (TAES_LNC002649)
Source: RNAcentral
UUGCUUCUAUUCAUUUCUGAGUAGUUUUUUAUAUAGUUUCUUUUUUCUUUUCUGUUAUAUUUAUUCUUUUGUUUUUAUUUCUGAGUUGUAAUAAGUCAUUAGAAAUAAGCAUCUAUGCUAUUUUUUUAGUAAAGUUAAUCAAAAUUAUUUUUUCUUCUAUUUAUUUCUGAGUGGUUUUUUAUAUAGUUUUUUUCUUUUCUGCUACAUUUAUUUUUUUCUUUAUAUUUCUGAGUUGUAAUAAGUCAUUAAAAAUAAAAAAGAGGCGCAAUGCUCGUUAAGACGAAGCCGCUCCCCUGGAGAAAUACGAGUGGGUCAACGGUAGUCACACGAUGAUGCCUUCAUCAUGGUAACGACAUGGAACACCGCCAUCGCCCGCCGUCAGCUCGGUUUUCACCGGCAACUACGUCUCCCCGACUCGCAGCUGGUGCCAGAUGACGGAUCCCGAGAUCCGAACACCCAGCCUCAGGCCGACCACCUCUGACUGAAGAGAUGACCACCAUCUAUGCUCAUUUUUUAGUAAAGUUAAUCAUAACUAUUUUUUCUUCUAUUUAUUUUUGAAUUGUAAUAAGUCAUUAAAAAUAAGCAUCUACGCUCAUAUUUUAGUAAAGUUAAUCACAACUACUUUCUUUUCUUUUUAUUUCUGAGUUGUAAUAAGUCAUUACAAAUAAGCAUCUAUGCUCCUUUUUUAGUACAGUUAAUCACAACUAUUUUUUGCUUCAAUUCAUUUCUGAGUAUCUUUUUAUAUAGUUUUUUUUUCUUUUCUGCUAUAUUUAUUUUUUUCUUUUUAUUUCUAAGUUGUAAUAAGUCAUUAAAAAUAAGCAUCUAUGCUCCUUUUUUAGUACAGUUAAUCACAACUAUUUUUUGGUUCAAUUCAUUUAUGAGUAGUUUUCUAUAUAGUUUUUUUUCUUUUCAGUUAUUUUUUUCUUUUUAUUUCUCAGUUGUAAGUCAUUA